GGCCGGAGGGCUACAUUAGUAGCAUGGCUUAGCAUGGAUUUGCGUGGUGGUUUUGAGACGCUGGCUGUCGAGCUUUCGCUGUUUCCUGUCAUCAGAGUCGGGCCGUAUUCUGGCUGAAGGCUGGGAGCCGGGCGUAAUAAUUCACGCGCUGCAUUUAAUUUCUGAGUGAUUGAGCUGCAUUUUUCUGCGGCUGUCUCCCCUGUUGCCUGAAAAGCUGUGGCUACAUUGACGGGCGGCUCUACUUCCUGAAGCGGGCUACUGAUGUUCUGUCACCAGUUCAUCGCGGCAAGCUCUCUGCUCAUCGGCAGCUGUUUUGUUGUUGUAUGAUGUUUUUAAAAAAAAAAAUAAAAUAAAAUAACAACGAUCUUGGUGUGCGUAUGCCUCUUGCCCAGCACGCCUGUUAUUGAGAGUAUUAUUAUUAUUAUUAUUAGGGUUGUUGCUGUUUUUUUUAUAUUAGAAUUGUUAGUAUUAGAAUUGUUAGUAUUAGAAUUAUUAGUGUUAGUAUAGAUCUUGGGAUUCUUGAUUAGUUAGUUUUGUUUAUUUACUUAUUUGUUGUGAUUGCAUAUUUAAAUUAUUCAGUUAUCUUUUUUUUGUUUGGGUUUGUAAAUUUUGUUUUCCUUUUUUUUGGUUUUAUUGGGUUGACUGGGCGAGGGAGUAAGGGGUGCAUGUUGGCGUAAUUGGCCUUGGUGGUGACCUCGUGGGCCCAGCCUAGUGUGGUGGUGUGGCAGUUUAUUUGAGAUCUAUGUAGGUGUGCCUCUUUUUUCCGUGACUAACAGUUUGCCUCUUCUCCUUGGACAGGAGCUGUUGGGCCAGGUGGCUGGUGGCUGACUGAUUUCCCCCGGAGGUGGUGGUCCCUUCACUCCCUGUACAAUAGUGCACUUGGGUGUUCGUCAGUGAUUUUGUUUUGUUCACGUGUGGUGCAUUAAGACCCUUCCCUUCUCCCCUCCAGUUCGUCAUCGCUGCCUGGUAAGCCCUCAGCCCUGUGCCUGGUGACUGUUUCGGUGGCACACUUAAUUAAGUCAGGGGGGGCCCUUGAGGAUUAGAUUAAUACUGUGCCACUUACUACCGUUAUGUCUUGGCAUCGCCAACAAGGUCGGUUUUAGAAAGAGUGUACAUUUUUAAAUAUUGUUAAUAAAUUUCGUUUUUCUAUACUUAAAGUGGAAUCGCGUCAGUCUCCGGUGCCUUUUGUACCUGUGUGACCUUUCUUGUGGUCUGUAUUAGAG
Molecule: long non-coding RNA, 1223 nt
Organism: Amphiprion ocellaris (clown anemonefish)
Lineage: Eukaryota; Metazoa; Chordata; Actinopteri; Pomacentridae
Source: Ensembl